CCUACGGGAGGCAGCAGUGGGGAAUAUUGGACAAUGGGCGCAAGCCUGAUCCAGCCAUGCCGCGUGAGUGAUGAAGGCCCUAGGGUUGUAAAGCUCUUUCACCGGUGAAGAUAAUGACGGUAACCGGAGAAGAAGCCCCGGCUAACUUCGUGCCAGCAGCCGCGGUAAUACGAAGGGGGCUAGCGUUGUUCGGAAUUACUGGGCGUAAAGCGCACGUAGGCGGAUACUUAAGUUAGGGGUGAAAUCCCAGGGCUCAACCCUGGAACUGCCUCUAAUACUGGGUAUCUUGAGUCCGAGAGAGGUGAGUGGAAUUCCGAGUGUAGAGGUGAAAUUCGUAGAUAUUCGGAGGAACACCAGUGGCGAAGGCGGCUCACUGGCUCGUUACUGACGCUGAGGUGCGAAAGCGUGGGGAGCAAACAGGAUUAGAUACCCCUGUAGUC
This 440-nucleotide ribosomal RNA is filed under the name uncultured Phyllobacteriaceae bacterium. RNAcentral's name for it is "bacterial SSU rRNA". It matches the Rfam family "Bacterial small subunit ribosomal RNA", at positions 338 to 795 of the family's 1533-position model. The record is from RNAcentral. Lineage: Bacteria; Pseudomonadati; Pseudomonadota; Alphaproteobacteria; Hyphomicrobiales; Phyllobacteriaceae.